AGUGAACGCUGGCGGUAGGCCUAACACAUGCAAGUCGAACGGCAGCGCAGAGGAGCUUGCUCCUUGGGUGGCGAGUGGCGGACGGGUGAGGAAUACAUCGGAAUCUACUCUGUCGUGGGGGAUAACGUAGGGAAACUUACGCUAAUACCGCAUACGACCUACGGGUGAAAGCAGGGGAUCUUCGGACCUUGCGCGAUUGAAUGAGCCGAUGUCGGAUUAGCUAGUUGGCGGGGUAAAGGCCCACCAAGGCGACGAUCCGUAGCUGGUCUGAGAGGAUGAUCAGCCACACUGGAACUGAGACACGGUCCAGACUCCUACGGGAGGCAGCAGUGGGGAAUAUUGGACAAUGGGCGCAAGCCUGAUCCAGCCAUACCGCGUGGGUGAAGAAGGCCUUCGGGUUGUAAAGCCCUUUUGUUGGGAAGGAAAUCCAGCUGGCUAAUACCCGGUUGGGAUGACGGUACCCAAAGAAUAAGCACUGGCUAACUUCGUGCCAGCCGCCGCCGUAA
Molecule: ribosomal RNA, 506 nt
Filed under: uncultured bacterium
Lineage: Bacteria
Description: partial 16S ribosomal RNA
Rfam family: Bacterial small subunit ribosomal RNA
Source: RNAcentral